RNAcentral lists this long non-coding RNA (422 nucleotides) under Ananas comosus (pineapple). RNAcentral's name for it is "long non-coding RNA (ACOM_LNC039760)". Lineage: Eukaryota; Viridiplantae; Streptophyta; Magnoliopsida; Poales; Bromeliaceae. The record is from RNAcentral.
ACCGAAAAAUUCAAACCGAGUCAAUUUUUUGGUUCAUAAAUAAUAGAAAAAACUUCAAAAACCUUCCUUAUGGUUUCGCACGUUCUCACUUUAGUAUCAUGUGAUUUAAAGUGUAUCAAUUUGGUGCCUUGUGGUUUUAUUUUUAUCUUUUCGGCAGUUUUUUCGUUAAUAUUUUGUUAAAUUAUAUAAAAAAAAAUUUCAGAUAUCCAUCUAAGUUUAUCGAAUAUUCACUUUAGUAUUCUUUAAUUUUAACUUUGUCACUGAUUUUAAAAAAAUAAUAAUAAAAUUGAUAAUAAAAAGAGAAAAAUAAAACCACAGGGCACAAAACUGAUAAACUUUGAAUCACAGGGUACUAAAGUGAAAAUAUGCAAAACAACACGAAUUUUUUGAAGUUUUUCAUAAAUAAUAUGAAAAAAAAUUUA